UGACUUAAGAGGGAGUCGCCUCUAAUAA
This 28-nucleotide small RNA is filed under the name Bombyx mori (domestic silkworm). Its description in RNAcentral is "ovarian small RNA-32036". The record is from RNAcentral. Lineage: Eukaryota; Metazoa; Arthropoda; Insecta; Lepidoptera; Bombycidae.